GACGAACGCUGGCGGCGUGCUUAACACAUGCAAGUCGAACGGUGAAGCUCCAGCUUGCUGGAGUGGAUCAGUGGCGAACGGGUGAGUAACACGUGAGCAACCUGCCCCUGACUCUGGAAUAAGCGCUGGAAACGGCGUCUAAUACUGGAUACGAGAAGGGUCCGCAUGGGCACUUUCUGGAAAGUUCUUCGGUUGGGGAUGGGCUCGCGGCCUAUCAGCUUGUUGGUGGGGUAAUGGCUCACCAAGGCGACGACGGGUAGCCGGCCUGAGAGGGCGACCGGCCACACUGGGACUGAGACACGGCCCAGACUCCUACGGGAGGCAGCAGUGGGGAAUAUUGCACAAUGGGCGAAAGCCUGAUGCAGCGACGCCGCGUGAGGGAUGACGGCCUUCGGGUUGUAAACCUCUUUCAGCAGGGAAGAAGCGAAAGUGACGGUACCUGCAGAAGAAGCACCGGCUAACUACGUG
Molecule: ribosomal RNA, 468 nt
Filed under: uncultured bacterium
Lineage: Bacteria
Description: partial 16S ribosomal RNA
Rfam family: Bacterial small subunit ribosomal RNA
Source: RNAcentral